This 519-nucleotide ribosomal RNA is filed under the name uncultured eukaryote. Its description in RNAcentral is "bacterial SSU rRNA". It matches the Rfam family "Eukaryotic small subunit ribosomal RNA", at positions 1161 to 1702 of the family's 1831-position model. The record is from RNAcentral.
AGGGCACCACCAGGAGUGGAGCCUGCGGCUUAAUUUGACUCAACACGGGAAAACUCACUCGGCCCGGACACUGGAAGGAUUGACAGAUUGAGAGCUCUUUCUUGAUUCAGUGGGUGGUGGUGCAUGGCCGUUCUUAGUUGGUGGAGUGAUUUGUCUGGUUAAUUCCGAUAACGAACGAGACUCUAGCCUACUAAAUAGAUCGUCGGCUUACAAACGCCGGCGAGACUUCUUAGAGGGACAGGCGGUGAUUCAACCGCACGAAACAGAGCAAUAACAGGUCUGUGAUGCCCUUAGAUGUCCGGGGCCGCACGCGCGCUACACUGAAGUGAUCAGCGUGCUUGACCCAUUGCCGAAAGGCAUUGGUAAACCCUUGAAAAUCCUCCGUGAUCGGGAUCGGGAAUUGCAAUUAUUUCCCUUGAACGAGGAAUUCCCAGUAAGUGUGAGUCAUCAGCUCACGUUGAUUACGUCCCUGCCCUUUGUACACACCGCCCGUCGCUGCCCGGGACUGAGCCGUUUCGA